Molecule: ribosomal RNA, 317 nt
Filed under: Geotrichum candidum
Lineage: Eukaryota; Fungi; Ascomycota; Dipodascomycetes; Dipodascales; Dipodascaceae
Description: eukaryotic LSU rRNA
Rfam family: Eukaryotic large subunit ribosomal RNA
Source: RNAcentral
CCCGCUGAACUUAAGCAUAUCAAUAAGCGGAGGAAAAGAAACCAACAGGGAUUGCCUUAGUAACGGCGAGUGAAGCGGCAAAAGCUCAAAUUUGAAAUCGGCCCCCAGGUCGAGUUGUAAUUUGUAGAUUGUAUCUUGAGAGCGGAUUAAAGUCUGUUGGAACACAGCGCCUUAGAGGGUGACAGCCCCGUAAAAUCUAUUCUCAUUGUAAGAUACUUUCGAAGAGUCGAGUUGUUUGGGAAUGCAGCUCUAAGUGGGAGGUAAAUUCCUUCUAAAGCUAAAUAUUGACGAGAGACCGAUAGCGAACAAGUACUGUG